This 254-nucleotide ribosomal RNA is filed under the name uncultured bacterium. Its description in RNAcentral is "partial 16S ribosomal RNA". It matches the Rfam family "Bacterial small subunit ribosomal RNA", at positions 524 to 776 of the family's 1533-position model. The record is from RNAcentral.
UACGUAGGGUGCGAGCGUUGUCCGGAAUUAUUGGGCGUAAAGAGCUCGUAGGCGGUCUGUCGCGUCGGUCGUGAAAACUUGGGGCUUAACCCUGAGCUUGCGGUCGAUACGGGCAUGUCUGGAGUUCGGUAGGGGAGACUGGAAUUCCUGGUGUAGCGGUGAAAUGCGCAGAUAUCAGGAGGAACACCGGUGGCGAAGGCGGGUCUCUGGGCCGAUACUGACGCUGAGGAGCGAAAGCGUGGGGAGCAAACAGG